This 253-nucleotide ribosomal RNA is filed under the name uncultured bacterium. RNAcentral's name for it is "partial 16S ribosomal RNA". It matches the Rfam family "Bacterial small subunit ribosomal RNA", at positions 524 to 776 of the family's 1533-position model. The record is from RNAcentral.
UACGUAGGAGACGAGCGUUGUCCAGAGUUACUGGGCGUAAAGGGUGCGUAGGCGGUUUGGUAAGUCUGAUGUGAAAUCUAUGGGCUCAACUCAUAGUCUGCAUCGGAAACUGCCGGGCUUGAGUGUGGGAGAGGUGAGUGGAAUUCCCGGUGUAGUGGUGAAAUGCGUAGAGAUCGGGAGGAACACCCGUGGCGAAGGCGGCUCACUGGGCCGGUCCUGACGCUGAGACGCGAAGGCGUGGGGAGCGAACGGG